CGCCGCUACCAAUCUCCCCCUUAUUUCUCCUCGCCUCCACCCGCGCAUCUCCGGGCAGCCUAAAAUCAUACCCACCCUACCCUACCCUACCCUACCCUCGGUGGCCGCCGGCUCUGCCUCCCCGUAAUCCCAAAGUUGCAGCAGGGGACCCGCCGUGAUGGGUUCUGCAUACCCGACGGGAGGAGACUGACCGGCGGAGAAUAAGGUGCUGCUGCAGUCUGCCGGGUGCCGGGCAAUGGGCGUCGCCGUGGGACAGGUGAAGCCGACGUCACUGGGCAGCCGCCCCCGUCGAAUGCGGCCUUCGUACGCCCCCUUCUCCGAGCCCUUCACUGAACGCAAGGCACAUGCCGCGCCGUCAUCCCCUUCCUGGCCGGCAGCGUGCUGCGCGUAGAGGCCCCUCCCUCCUCCGCCCAGCUUUCUCCACCGAUCUGGCUCCAUAAAAAAUUCCGCUUCCUCUCCGUGUUCGCGAAUUUGUUUGAUCCAAAAUGGAAGUAUUUGGCGAUCGGGAUGACCCGACCGAUCCUGAAUACAUAGAGGUGGAUCCGACCGGGCGAUACAUGCGCUACAAUGAGGUGUUGGGGAGAGGAGCUGUCAAGACUGUUUACAAGGCAUUUGAUGAGGCCGAAGGUAUUGAAGUUGCAUGGAAUCAAGUCAACAUAGAUGAGCUGAUGCAGUGUCCAGAUAACCUUGAGAGGCUCUACUCGGAAGUUCAUCUACUGAAAUCUCUCAAGCAUGAAAAUGUAAUGAAGUUCUACAAUUAUUGGGUCGAUGAUCGAAAGAAGACAAUCAAUGUUAUUACUGAACUGUUUACAUCUGGCAAUCUUAGGCUUUACCGACGGAAACAUCCACGCGUUGAUUUGAAAGCAAUAAAGAAUUGGGCAAGACAGAUUCUUCAUGGAUUAGAUUACUUGCACAGCCACCAACCUCCCAUUAUCCACAGAGACCUGAAGUGUGAUAAUAUUUUUGUUAACGGCAAUCAUGGACAAGUUAAGAUUGGAGAUCUUGGACUAGCUACAAUUAUGCGAACGCCUAAAGCAAGAAGUGUUAUUGGUACUCCUGAAUUCAUGGCACCUGAGCUAUAUGAUGAGGAUUACGAUGAACUGGUUGAUAUUUACUCGUUCGGUAUGUGCAUGUUGGAAAUGUUCACUCUUGAAUAUCCAUACAAUGAAUGCAAAAAUGCAGCUCAGAUUUUUAAAAAAGUAUCCAAGGGUGUCAAACCGGCUGGACUGUCCAAAAUUGUAAAUGCUGAAGUUAAGAAUUUCAUUGAGAAAUGUUUAGUUCCUGCUUCUGAGAGGCUGUCCGCAAAAGAACUAUUGCAAGAUCCAUUUCUUUGCACCGAUAAUGCAAAAAGUUUUGCUAGCAUUAUGGUUCCAUCAUCAAUUCCCAAAGCAAUGGGGAUCCCUCUGGAAUCUUUGCACAUGGACGUCGAUACUCGUGAAUCUAUGUGUGCUAGCUCGGGCGAGAAAAAUGUCCUUGGGUCUCCACACAAUUCCGUGUUGGAGUUCACGAGAACUAACAGAAAUACAGAACUCAAUCUAAAGGGCGAGAAAGUUGAUGAUAGUUCAGUCUCACUGGUUCUACGGAUUGCUGAUUUGUGUGGUCAAGCAAGAAAUAUCCAUUUCCUCUUCUACCUCGAAUCUGACACGGCUAUGUCUGUUGCUGCGGAAAUGGUUGAACAGUUGGAGCUAGCAGACUGCGACGUUACUUUCAUUGCUGAUUUUAUUGACCUUCUGAUAAUCAAUCUUGUUCCUGGUCGGAAACUGGCAAAUGAUGCAGCGAUGAAUCCAUAUGUGGAAUCUAAAACGUGUGGAAGUGAGCAAUUAACUAUUUCCCAGCAGAACCCAUUAGAGAUGCCACCUGAUUAUGUGUUAGUUGAAAGUACAAUGCAUCCUAAAGAUAUCAGUGCAUCGCCGAAUAAAUAUCCAGAAUCUGUCUCAAGUGCAACUAAUCUGGAGGGGCCAAAGUGCUCCGAGGGAUCGGACUUUUCUUCUCGGCUUGCUGGGAGUUCUGAAAGUCCGAGCUACGAUGGCACUGAUGACUGUGGGAUUAUGUACUGUGGUGGGUACAAAGAGGGAAUCCAUAAACUGGACUGCAACCAUGUUCUAGGUGAUGGGCCAAGGAACAUUUCGAUUUUCCAUAUAGAUGAAACAUCACCACCUCCUUCGGAGCUGGUGAGCGGCUGCUCGUCAAUUUCCAUUACCGACAGUCAAGAUGUGCUGAAUGGGGAGCUUGAUUUGAUUGAAGUUGAGUAUAAAGAUUGGUUUGAUGAAUUAGCGAGGAUGCGGGAAGAAGCUAUGGAAGGAGGAGGACAGGAGAAGUGGUUACCAUAUAAUGAUGUUUGAGUUCAAGUAUCGUGUCUCGUCUGAAACAUCAUUGGAAUGUCUUUAGAUGUUCCUCUGCCUCCUGUUUCUACAGUUUUUCUUUUCUCAUGCAAAUGCGAGUUAUAAUAAUCAGUAGGAUCAUUGUCAUCGAUUUAGUUUUGUAGCUUAGCUCCGAGUUUUCCCAGCAUUAUAACUUUGAUGUGGCAUCGGGAAGACGCAACUGUUGUAGAUAUAUGAGCUGGAGAAAUUUUCAGUGUUGGAAUGAAUAUAUGCAGUUCCCCAGUA
This is an RNA transcript of Hordeum vulgare subsp. vulgare (domesticated barley), 2606 nucleotides long. It is a transcript of the gene named probable serine/threonine-protein kinase WNK4, with no coding region annotated. The record is from RefSeq and is a predicted model, not a curated record. The transcript has 8 exons. NCBI's taxonomy places the organism in Eukaryota, Viridiplantae, Streptophyta, Magnoliopsida, Poales, Poaceae.